GACGAACGCUGGCGGCGUGCUUAACACAUGCAAGUCGAACGGGCCUUGUCCCCUUUUUUUUGGGGGUGGGGUUAGGGGCGCACGGGUGAGUAACACGUGAGUAACCUGCCCCUUACUUCUGGAUAACCGCUUGAAAGGGUGGCUAAUACGGGGUGGUCUGGCCUGCUUGCAUGGGUGGGUUUGGCAAGGUUCGACCGGUUUUGGUUGUUUUGGUGGGGGGUGGGCUCGCGGCCUAUCAGGUUGUUGGUGGGGUGAUGGCCUGCCAAGGCUUUGACGGGUAGCCGGCCUGAGAGGGUGGGCGGUCACACUGGGACUGAGACACGGCCCAGACUCCUACGGGAGGCAGCAGUGGGGAAUAUGGCACAAGGGGCGCAAGCCUGAUGCAGCGACGCCGCGUGAGGGAUGGAGGCCUUCGGGUUGUGAACCUCUUUCGCCAGUGAAGAAGGUCCUGCUCUUUGUGGUGGGGUUGACGGUAGCUGGGUUAAUGAAGCGCCGGCUAACUACGUG
This 507-nucleotide ribosomal RNA is filed under the name uncultured bacterium. RNAcentral describes it as "partial 16S ribosomal RNA". It matches the Rfam family "Bacterial small subunit ribosomal RNA", at positions 28 to 507 of the family's 1533-position model. The record is from RNAcentral.